UUCCCAUCUGUGGUGAUCUUCCUCUU
Molecule: non-coding RNA, 26 nt
Filed under: Rattus norvegicus (Norway rat)
Lineage: Eukaryota; Metazoa; Chordata; Mammalia; Rodentia; Muridae
Source: RNAcentral